CCUACGGGGGGCAGCAGUGGGGAAUAUUGGGCAAUGGGCGCAAGCCUGACCCAGCAACGCAGCGUGCAGGAAGAAGGCUUUCGGGUUGUAAACUUCUUUUCUCAGGGACGAAGCAAGUGACGGUACCUGAGGAAUAAGCCACGGCUAACUACGUGCCAGCAGCCGGGGUAAUACGUAGGUGGCAAGCGUUAUCCGGAUUUACUGGGUGUAAAGGGGGUGUAGGCGGGAAAGCAAGUCAGAUGGGAAAACCAUGGGGCCAACCUGUGGCCUGCAUUUGAAACUGUUUUUCUUGAGUACUGGAGAGGCAGACGGAAUUCGUAGUGUAGCGGUGAAAUGCGUAGAUAUUAGGAGGAACACCAGUGGCGAAGGCGGUAUGCUGGACAGCAACUGACGCUGAGGCGCGAAAGCGUGGGGAGCAAACAGGAUUAGAUACCCUAGUAGUC
This 443-nucleotide ribosomal RNA is filed under the name uncultured bacterium. RNAcentral describes it as "partial 16S ribosomal RNA". It matches the Rfam family "Bacterial small subunit ribosomal RNA", at positions 338 to 795 of the family's 1533-position model. The record is from RNAcentral.